CAGUGAAAUUGAACUCGCUGUGAAGAUGCAGUGUACCCGCGGCAAGACGGAAAGACCCCGUGAACCUUUACUAUAGCUUGACACUGAACAUUGAGCCUUGAUGUGUAGGAUAGGUGGGAGGCUUUGAAGUGUGGACGCCAGUCUGCAUGGAGCCGACCUUGAAAUACCACCCUUUAAUGUUUGAUGUUCUAACGUGGACCCGUGAUCCGGGUUGCGGACAGUGUCUGGUGGGUAGUUUGACUGGGGCGGUCUCCUCCUAAAGAGUAACGGAGGAGCACGAAGGUUGGCUAAUCCUGGUCGGACAUCAGGAGGUUAGUGCAAUGGCAUAAGCCAGCUUGACUGCGAGCGUGACGGCGCGAGCAGGUGCGAAAGCAGGUCAUAGUGAUCCGGUGGUUCUGAAUGGAAGGGCCAUCGCUCAACGGAUAAAAGGUACUCCGGGGAUAACAGGCUGAUACCGCCCAAGAGUUCAUAUCGACGGCGGUGUUUGGCACCUCGAUGUCGGCUCAUCACAUCCUGGGGCUGAAGUAGGUCCCAAGGGUAUGGCUGUUCGCCAUUUAAAGUGGUACGCGAGCUGGGUUUAGAACGUCGUGAGACAGUUCGGUCCCUAUCUGCCGUGGGCGCUGGAGAACUGAGGGGGGCUGCUCCUAGUACGAGAGGACCGGAGUGGACGCAUCACUGGUGUUCGGGUUGUCAUGCCAAUGGCACUGCCCGGUAGCUAAAUGCGGAAGAGAUAAGUGCUGAAAGCAUCUAAGCACGAAACUUGCCCCGAGAUGAGUUCUCCCUGACCCUUUAAGGGUCCUGAAGGAACGUUGAAGACGACGACGUUGAUAGGCCGGGUGUGUAAGCGCAGCGAUGCGUUGAGCUAACCGGUACUAAUGAACCGUGAGGCUUAACCUU
Molecule: ribosomal RNA, 897 nt
Filed under: Escherichia coli
Lineage: Bacteria; Pseudomonadati; Pseudomonadota; Gammaproteobacteria; Enterobacterales; Enterobacteriaceae
Also listed under: 3 other names
Description: partial 23S ribosomal RNA
Rfam family: Bacterial large subunit ribosomal RNA
Source: RNAcentral